AACUAAACCCCCAUUUGGCAGGCAAGGAAGCCAGAACGAUAAGGAUGUUGAUUUAUGUUUUAUCUGUCACUACAUUUUCAGUAAAGUUGGGCAGCGAGCCUUAACGAAGCGAGGGCUGUUAUCACCUCUCCUUAGCCCUUUAAGUGCAGCAGGCUCUUUGGUGUCUCUCGCUGAAUGCCGCUUUGUUAAUUGCGACGGUAAACAGGACGCAGCGCUGACCAUCGCCGCGUUUUGCUCAGGCGGCACUUACCACAAAACCAUUGGAUUUGGGAAAGGAUCCUGAGUCCAGGGGGAGUCACACACGAAAGAGGGUUCGUAGAAGUACUCAGCAUUUCCUGGACUUGCUUCUAUCAUUUAAAAUGUAUUGCAUACCUUGAAGUGAAUGUAAUGGAUGGCUUAAUUGGAGAUAACUUCACUGAAGUGGCCGUAGUUACCAUUUAUGUCAGCAGUGAAUGUGCCCUUUAAUGCUGUGCCCCUCAGAACUUCUGCAAGAGGAAUUAGAGUCCUGGCAGAGUGACCAGAAGUAUGACAUUCAGGAGAGGAAAAUGUAUUUUUGUUAACCUCGUGCAGAAGGCAUUAAGAGUAAUCUCCUUUAAAAAGCUUGAGGACAUCUGCCUGGGCUGCUUAACAGAAGUCUGCUUUUAGAAUAAACAAUACAUGAACAAAUUGUUUGCUACAAUGCAGCUGCAAUUUGAAGUCAGCAUUCUGAGUGGAGUUAGUUCCAGCUGCUGAUAUAAGGCUGUCUGAAAGCUCCAGUAUCAAUGAAGAGACUUCUGUUGAUGCUUACAGAUGACAAAAUAUCGUUCCCUCUCCUUUAUAACAGCAUCUCUUUCAGAAGAUAUUUCUGGAUACUGUCACAGCAUCUGAGGAACCAUAUUCCAGCUGUUCUCAGACUUUCCCAUUUCUGGAAGCCUACUCCUCCUUCAGCUCCAAUCACAGAUGUCCACACAAUAGAAAUGCAGUCAUCCGCCAAGAGGUCAGUCAAAGACUAACUAAAGAUUACGCCAGAAUGUCUCUGUUAUUUUUUUUACUCCAUCGAAGGAUCUUUAGAAUCACAAAGUCAGACAUGAAUUCAUUACCUCAAAGCAAGACACCGACAUUUUUGUGAGCUAGCCCUGACAGAAUUGUAUGUCUUUCCCAAAGUUACUAAGGUCUUUAGCCCAGGUAUAUCCAAGCUGCAAAUCAGGAUAUCAAAAUAUGCAAAAAAAAUUUAAUAAGACACAAAUCCCCCAAAAUAAAGGAAUUUAAAAGUUUUCUGUUCUCUUUAAAAUUUAGGCAACUUGCUUGAUGACAAUCAGCAGUCCUGUCACUUUCAGAUGUCACCAACUAUCUCUUGCUGCUGCUUUACUUCAGGUUUGAAGUUCCCUCUGCUCUUUGCUCUUUGCUCUUUUCUGGUUGAAAAAUCCUUCCCACCCUGGUGUCUAAAUACUUGGGAAAGCAUUUUCAAAGGACCUAAAAAUGUAUGCAGGAUACUUCAGAUUUUGUUUAAAAAGAAAGAAAAAAGGAAUAAACCUUCAGAGUCCUAUUGUAUAGAUUUGAUUCCUCAUGUCUUUAACCUCAACACUAGUAUACAGAACUCCACUGGAUCCUAUUUUCCAAUAAUUUUUAGUAAGUUAAUAUCCUAGAUAAUUUUUACAGUAUUAAAUAUUAAGCUUACCUUUAUGUUGAUCACUUGAACACAUACUAUGUUGGUCAAAUAUGUACAUGUAGAAUGCUUGUGCGUGUACCCACAAAUUAAAAAAAGUAAUAAAAAAUUAAACUGCUAAACCUAAACUGUAUUCAAAUAAAUAACUUGCCCUACUCCCUAGUCUACCCUAAUUUAUUUUUCUUUAGUUGCUUUUUUUACUGUAA
Long non-coding RNA from Vidua macroura (Pin-tailed whydah), 1851 nucleotides. RefSeq lists it as uncharacterized. The transcript is spliced from 4 exons. The record is from RefSeq and is a predicted model, not a curated record. NCBI's taxonomy places the organism in Eukaryota, Metazoa, Chordata, Aves, Passeriformes, Viduidae.